AGAUAUUUUCUUAUUAUUACGUUAUAUGAAUAUGAUUUAUCAUAUGACCUUCUUUCUGUUUAUUUUUGUGCGUUCUGAUAACUUGGUAACAUUGAUAUACAUUUUUUACGUAAUGGUCAUCCGAGACAUUAGACAUACCCACACAAAAACACGAGAUUCUAUAUGGCUAUAUGCAAGGGAAGAGAAUUAGGGGGUGUUAUUGGUUCCUAAUUUACAAGGAAUUUUGAUGACUUCAAUUAAAUCCUUGAAAGUUUAAAGAAACGAAAGAUUUUAAAGGAUUGUUAGAGAGUUUUUUAUAAUCUUGUUGAUUAGUUUUUCAUAAUCUUGUAAAGUUUCUCAAACAAUCUCUCAAUUUUGAU
This 359-nucleotide small RNA is filed under the name Arabidopsis thaliana (thale cress). RNAcentral's name for it is "ATSL262100". The record is from RNAcentral. Lineage: Eukaryota; Viridiplantae; Streptophyta; Magnoliopsida; Brassicales; Brassicaceae.